UACGUAGGGUCCAAGCGUUAUCCGGAAUUACUGGGCGUAAAGCGUGUGUAGGCGGCGCGUUAAGUGCAACGCGAAAUCCUGUGGCUCAACCAUAUGGACUGUGUUGCAUACUGGCGUGCUUGAGGAUGGCAGAGGCAAGUGGAAUUUGUAGUGUAGCAGUGAAAUGCGUAGAUAUUACAAGGAACACCAAUGGCGAAGGCAGCUUGCUGGGCCAUAUCUGACGCUGAGACACGAAAGCGUGGGGAGCGAACAGG
Molecule: ribosomal RNA, 254 nt
Filed under: uncultured bacterium
Lineage: Bacteria
Description: partial 16S ribosomal RNA
Rfam family: Bacterial small subunit ribosomal RNA
Source: RNAcentral